Molecule: ribosomal RNA, 514 nt
Filed under: uncultured bacterium
Lineage: Bacteria
Description: bacterial SSU rRNA
Rfam family: Bacterial small subunit ribosomal RNA
Source: RNAcentral
AGAGUUUGAUUAUGGCUCAGGAUGAACGCUGGCGGCGUGCCUAAUACAUGCAAGUCGAGCGAGGUAGCUUGCUACCUAGCGGCGAACGGGUGAGUAACACGUAGGUAACCUGCCUUUAAGACUGGGAUACCCGGACGAAAGUUCGGCUAAUACCGGAUAACAACGGAGAUGGCAUCUUCUCCGCUUGAAAGGUGCGUUUGCACCACUUUUAGAUGGACCUGCGGCACAUUAGCUAGUUGGUGAGAUAACAGCCCACCAAGGCGAGGAUGUGUAGCCGACCUGAGAGGGUGACCGGCCACAAUGGGACUGAGACACGGCCCAUACUCCUACGGGAGGCAGCAGUAGGGAGUUUUCGGCAAUGGGCGAAAGCCUGACCGAGCAACGCCGCGUGAGUGAAUGAAGGUCUUCGGAUUGUAAAGCUCUGUUGCGAGGGACGAAACGUACGAUCAGGAAAUGGGUCGUAUUUGACUAUACCUCGCCAGAAAGUGACGGCUAACUACGUGCCAGCCGCGGC